Molecule: long non-coding RNA, 1048 nt
Organism: Grus americana (Whooping crane)
Lineage: Eukaryota; Metazoa; Chordata; Aves; Gruiformes; Gruidae
Exons: 4
Source: RefSeq, a predicted model, not a curated record
CUGGCUGUACCUUCGUACAGUGCCCUCUCUUCUUCAAAAGCCCGGCCCAGAUAUCUGCACGAGAUCAGAGAAGGGCUGGAGCUGCCUGACCCACCAGGCCUGGGUCGCUGCAGAGGGACGCGAAGGUCGCAGUCACCGCCGUACCGGAUUAACGCAGCUGGGGCGUUCUGCUGCUGCUGACCGUGGCCGUUGUCAUGAACCGCAGAGGGGGAGGUUGUAACAAAUCCUGAGUACAAAACGUGGAGCAGCCUGCUCACAGGGAGACAGCAUUUCUCGCCCCUUCUGAUGGGAAGACUGAAGUGUGGAGUGCUGACAGCAAAUGAGUCCCUUAGUGCUGUAGCCAAGAAGAGAGACCAGACCUCCAGAGUCACGUCUGUGCUUCCACCUUGACAGACAGUGAUGGGACUGCAGCAUGGAUUGAAACAUGCAAAGUGACACAGCACCAUACGCAGUAAUCUAAGAGCGUAAAGGCACCUGCCCUCUUCCUUGCUAUGGGGAGCAGCUCACUUGCACUGCAUAAAGAGGUCCAAGCUAGAAGCCUGGUUGCUCUAUGGGUAUCGUCUGUAGGGACUGGACAGAGAAAGAGGCCCCUCGAGGGACAGUAGAGCCCACUGGUGAGUUGUAUCAUCUUUUGCGAAUGCCUGUCACUCUGGCUCGGCGAUAGAGGACUCUAUUGCGGCAAUGACCAUGAAGAUAACUGUGUUCAGUGUAUAGUGUGGGAUGCUUCUGGCCCUCAAUUCCUCUCCUGAACGACUAUAGAGAAAGGUAGGAAAUAGUGACUGAUUCGUCUUCCUGCUGAACUUUUGGCUUUUAUAUUUUCAAAGAUAUUUUUGCAGGUAAAAGCAAAAGUUUAAUGGAAAUUUACUUUAAAGGAAUAAUACUGUAACUCUACUUCUUGCUAGAAAGCAUUGAAUAAAACAAACGUUUUAUUCAGCAGAAUAACAGUGAAAAAAUUAGCAACCUUUUCUAUAUUUUUUCUCAUAGAAAACAUGCUUCCUUUCUCUUUAUCACUUAUGAAGCAUUUUAACUCAUUGUGUUAAUGAUUUUG